AAUGAACGUUGGCGGCAUGGAUUAGGCAUGCAAGUCGGGGGAAUCCCAGCAAUGGGGGAACCGGCGUAAGGGGCAGUAAGGCAUGGGUACCUACCUUGGGGUUCGGGAUAGCCAUCAGAGAUGGUGGGUAAUACCGGAUGACGUCGUGAGACCAAAGAUUUAUCGCCCUUAGAGGGGCCCAUGUGAUAUUAGCUAGUUGGUGGGGUAACGGCCCACCAAGGCGAAGAUGUCUAGCGGGUGUGAGAGCACGACCCGCGCCACUCGCACUGAGACACAGGCGAGACGCCUACGGGUGGCUGCAGUCGAGGAUCUUCGGCAAUGAGCGCAAGCUUGACCGGGCGAUGCCGCGUGAGCGAUGAAGGCCUUCGGGUUGUAAAGCUCUUUAGUGGGGGAGAAAAGCCGCAAGGUGUGAUCUAUCCCAAAAAUAAGCACGGGCUAAGUUCGUGCCAGCCGCCGCCGUAA
This 462-nucleotide ribosomal RNA is filed under the name uncultured bacterium. RNAcentral describes it as "partial 16S ribosomal RNA". It matches the Rfam family "Bacterial small subunit ribosomal RNA", at positions 29 to 523 of the family's 1533-position model. The record is from RNAcentral.